GUGGGGAAUAUUGGGCAAUGGGCGCAAGCCUGACCCAGCAACGCCGCGUGAAGGAAGAAGGCUUUCGGGUUGUAAACUUCUUUUACCAGGGACGAAACAAAUGACGGUACCUGGUGAAUAAGCCACGGCUAACUACGUGCCAGCAGCCGCGGUAAUACGUAGGUGGCGAGCGUUAUCCGGAUUUAUUGGGUGUAAAGGGCGUGUAGGCGGGACAGCAAGUCAGAUGUGAAAACCAGAGGCUCAACCUCUGGCCUGCAUUUGAAACUGUUGUUCUUGAGUGUCGGAGAGGUAAUCGGAAUUCCGUGUGUAGCGGUGAAAUGCGUAGAUAUACGGAGGAACACCAGUGGCGAAGGCGGAUUACUGGACGAUAACUGACGCUGAGGCGCGAAAGCGUGGGGAGCAAACAGGAUUAGAAACCCCUGUAGUC
Molecule: ribosomal RNA, 427 nt
Filed under: uncultured bacterium
Lineage: Bacteria
Description: partial 16S ribosomal RNA
Rfam family: Bacterial small subunit ribosomal RNA
Source: RNAcentral